AUGGUUAUUGGCAUUUGUUGUUCUUGUGAUGAUACUGUUAUGCUCCCUUUGCAUCAUUUAUCUCAUAUGCCAUGCCAUGACCACCUAGCUUCGGAUAUGCAUUGUUUUGGAUGUUGUCCAUUUUCUCCAUAUGAUGUUUCCAAUAUUGCUCAUGAGGAGACCCCCAUAGUUUCCUCAUACAUUUUAGGAGAUUUUGAUUCAUCCUAUCCAUUGCAUGAUCCCAAUACUUGUGUGCAUAAUAUGCUUCCCAUGAAUGAAAGUGCUAUUGAUGUGCCAUAUAAUUAUAUGCUCAAUUUGCAUCCCCAUCGUGUCAUACAUAACAACUAUUCUUUCAUGAUGGAUGACAUGUUCUUAUACCAUGCAUCAAAUUUCUUUGAGCGAUGCUUAUCUUGUGCUAACUCUCACGUGCACAUACACAUCAUGAUGGAUGAUGUGUACAUUUACCACACGCACAAUUUCUUUGGUUUGUGUCUCUUUUGUGUAGGUACCCAUGAAUACUUGUCAACCUCGCACUCCCACGAGUUGAAAAAACGAGCUCUAGAGAGCAAUGAUGACUUGGGAUCCCAUAGGUUGUCUUUCCCACCGCUCUCUUCACGCGAAGUCUUCGCGCAUUUCUUCUACAUGGCUCUCACAUGGUUAUGGGUUAUUGUCCAUUACAUAUUCUAUGCCCAUCUUGCCAUGUUCACUUUGCAUGAUAUGCUCAUUCCUAUGCCUUUGCCAUGCAUUUGUGACCCAUGCUUUGCAUUACACAUGAUGAUUGAUUCUACUACUUGUAUGUGUAUUUGCAAGCUUGGUGGAGAUAUUGCUUGUUAUCACCAUGUUCCAUUUGUGACCCAUCCCUAUGAUGAUACUAUGAUCUUGCUUUGUGUUCGUGCUUGCGAUAUGUCAUGUGCAUUGCUUAUGCCUAUUAUUUGCUCACAUGACAUGAUUGCCAUGAUUUCCUCUAGUAUGUUGCAUCUUCGCACUACUAGCUUGCACGACUUGAUUACUAUGAUUGCUUGCCUUGUUGCAUCACCGAUGAUUCAUACUUGCUCAUUUCAUGUGGUUGAUGACAACCAUCUACAUGCUUUGCACAUGAUUGUUAUUGCUUCUUGCCAUAUAUCUCCAUGCGUUGCCUCUCUCAUGCUAAAUGAUUUGCCAUGUAUUGAGUGCAACAAUGCUUUUAGUCUUGCUAAUGAGAUUGCCCCCAUAGCAUUCUCACAUAUAUUUGGAGAUUUUGACAUAUUCCUUGUUAAGCAUGCUUGUCAUACCUCUUUGCACCAUAUACCUUGUGCCAUGAAUAUCGCCAUUGUUGCAUCAUAUUAUUCAUGCACUUGUGCUUCUAAUGGUUAUGUGCAAGAGAAGAGAACCAUCAUGAUGGAUGAUGUGUUUAUCUACCAUGUGCAUACGUUCUUUGUCUUGGUUUGUGCAUGUGUAGGAACCUUGGACCUCGUGUCAACUUCCACGUCAUGUGAGUUGACAAUCCGAGCUCUUGAGAGUGAACCACCUUCUACCACGACGAUUCUACAUCGCACUUGCUUGUGCUUUGGCAUUGUGAAUAAUACACAAGGACACACCUUCAAGGUGACAUCUUUCUUGAGCAUGGAUAUUGUGGAUCAUACUACUUGUGUUGCUUGCACCAUUUUCACCAUUCCAUGCAUCACGAUAUAUAUGCCUUGUGUGUUGCAUCCAAUUCUUGGAUUACUUGCUCCUAUCACAUGUUUGGUUGCAACAAUGUCAUUCCUUCACAUAUGCCAUGUCCCAUUGAUUGCUACAUGCUUGCCUUGA
This 1767-nucleotide ribosomal RNA is filed under the name Triticum aestivum (bread wheat). Its description in RNAcentral is "partial small subunit ribosomal RNA". The record is from RNAcentral. Lineage: Eukaryota; Viridiplantae; Streptophyta; Magnoliopsida; Poales; Poaceae.